This 8392-nucleotide long non-coding RNA is filed under the name Ananas comosus (pineapple). Its description in RNAcentral is "long non-coding RNA (ACOM_LNC031477)". The record is from RNAcentral. Lineage: Eukaryota; Viridiplantae; Streptophyta; Magnoliopsida; Poales; Bromeliaceae.
AAAACCAAAAUGUGUUCUUAUUCAAAUAAAAAUAGUCUUUAAAUUCUUUAUACAAGAAGAAAACACUUAAACUGUAAAUGAACUCAAGAUACCCAUAUGAUGAAUAUGAUCCUUGAAUUUGUUUGCCGGCAAUGCUUUAGUCAUAGGAUCAGCAAUCAUUAUCUCAGUCCCAAUGUGUUGGAUAUCCACAUUCUUCUUGUCGUAUUCUUUCACAGCAAGAUACUUUAUAUCAAUAUGUUUACUGCGAUCUGUAGUUCGACUAUUCCUUGCAAAGAACACUGCUGCAGAGUUGUCGCAAUAAAUCGUAAUUGGCCUUGAGAUAGAGUCGAUAACUUUUAAACCUGAGAUAAAAUUUCUCAGCCAUAAAGCCUAUGAGGAAGCCUCAUAGCAAGCGAUGAACUCUGCCUCCAUGGUGGAUGUACCAAUUGUAUCUUGCUUAGUGCUCCUCUAAGAUAUAGCACCUUGAGCAAGUAAGAAAAUAUAUCCUGAUGUAGACUUUCUAGAAUCCACGCAUCCAGUAAAAUCAGAGUCCGAAUAUCCAACCACCUCAAGAUGGUCAAAAUGUCUGUAGGUGAGCAUGUAAUACUUUGUUCCUUGUAAAUAUUUCAUAACCUUCUUUGCAUCUUUUCAAUGAUCAAGGCUAGGAUUGCUUUGGUAUUUACCCAAUAUUCCCACUGCAUGAGUUAUAUCAGGUCUGGUACAAACCUGCGCAUACAUCAAACUCCUUACUGCCGAGGCAUAGAGUAUACUUUUCAUAUGCUCUCAUUCUAAAUCAUUCUGAGGACACUGUUUCUGAUUGAAUUUGUCGCCUUUUAUAAUAGGCAUAGCUGUAGGUGCACAAUUUGCUGUAUUAAACUUUUCUAGAACUCUUUCAAGAUAGACUUUCUGAGAUAGACCCAAAAUCCUUUGAGAUCUAUUUCUGUGAAUCUUUAUGCCAAUGACAUAAGAAGCUUCACCUAUAUCCUUCAUCUCAAAAUUCUUAGAAAGAAAAUUUGUGGUCUCUUUAAGCAAACUCAAAUCACUACUUGUAAGCAGAAUGCCAUCUAUAUACAGGACUAAGAAAAUAUACUUACUCCCACUAACCUUAAGGUAUAUGCACUGGUCUACAAUAUUUUCUACGAAACUGAAUGUAGUAAUUACAUUAUGUAACUUGAUAUACCACUGACGGAAAGUCUGUUUAAGUCCGUAUAUAGAUUUCUUUGGUCUGCAAACAAGGUAAUUAUUUUCAUCUGUGCUAAAACCUUCGGGCUGUUGCAUAUAGACUAUCUCCUCUAUAUCCCUAUUUAGAAAUGUUGUUUUCACAUCCAUCUGAUAUAACUCCAAAUCAAAAUGAACUACCAAAGCCAUUGUAAUUCUUAAUGAAUCAUUCUUUGAUACCGGAGAGAAGGUUUUAUGAUAAUCAAUGCCUUCCUUUUGAGUGAAACUUUUGGCAACAAGUCUGGCCUUAUAUCGUUCUAUGUUACCUAAAGAGUACCUUUUGGUUUUGAAGACUCAUUUACAGUCAAUGGCUUUGAUUCCUUGUGGUAACUCAACGAGAUCUCAAACUUUGUUAUCUGCCAUAGAUUUCAUCUCUUCCUUCAUGACAUCAUACCAUAGGAAGGAUUUAUCUCCCUGCAUGGCUUCUGAAAACGUCCAUGGGUCUUUAUGGUGUCCGAUAUCAAAGUCAAACUCCUGAAGAUAGGCUACAUAAUCAUUAGGAAUUACUUGUCUCCUUUGUCUUGAGGAUCUUUUAAGCCAACCUCUUCCUACAUAUUUUCAUUAUUUUGUGCAGCUGGCUCUAUAAUUAUCUGUUCCUCUUGUGACAGCUCUUCAUGGGGAGGUUCAACUGGUUCAGCAUUGUCAUGCUCCAAGAUUAGUUGAUCUCCAUUAUGGUCAAAUUGACCUCCUGGAAGAGCAACUAGAUUAUUAUCUGUUGAUAGAUAACCAGUUGAAUCCCUUAUUUCCUCAAAAUCUAUCUUUUUAGGAACACCACUCCCACUAGCUUCAGAAUCCUCAAGAAAUUUGGCAUUUAUGGCCUCAACUAUCUUGAAUGAGUUAUUUGGACAAUAAAAUCUGAAUCCUUUGAAUUUUACCGCAUAACCAAUGAAAUAUCCACUGACUGUUCGAGGGCCCAACUUCUUUAUGUGUGGAUUAUAAACCCUCACCUCAGCUGGACAUCCUCAUACAUGCAGUUGAUUUAAACUAGGUUUCCACCCUUUCCAUAACUCAAAAGGAGUUUUAGAAAUAGCCUUCGGAAUCCUAUUUAAAACAUACACCGUUGUCUUUAGUGCUUCACUCCAAAGAGAAGAUGGAAGACAAUAGCUGCUAAUCAUGCUACUUACCAUGCCCAUGAGUGUUCUAUUCCUUCUUUCGGCAACACCAUUUUGUUGGGGCGUGCCAAGCAUCGUAUAUUGUGCAAUGAUGCCUUCACUUUCGAGGAAUUGAGCAAAUGGACCGGCCAUUUGACCUUUAUUUGUAUGUCUUCCAUAAUACUCACCCCCCCUAUCGGACCUUACAAUUUUGAUUUUCCUAGCCAAUUACUUCUCUACCGCAACCUUAUAAGCUUUAAAAGUAUCAAGCGCCUCAGCUUUUUCAAAUAAGAGAUAGAGAUACAUGUAUCUUAAAUGGUCAUCAAUAAAUGAGAUAAAAUAUAUCUGAAUAUUGAAACAAGGAGUAGGAAAAGGUCCACAGAUAUCUGUAUAUAUGAUCUCAAGAAUUUCUUCUUUUUUUUUUUUGAGAGAGAUAGAUAGCACGCUACCCGCUUCGUUUAUUUUAUUUAGAAAUAAACUUAGCUAGAAAUGUGAAUCAACUAGGAUUCGAACUUGGGUCUCGGGUACCAACCACCAAGCCCUUUGCCACUUGCUCUAUGGACGGUCGGUAUGAUCUUAAGAAUUUCAGAACUCCUUUUGGCACCUUUAGUGGUAUUUGUGUUAGUAUACUUUUCCUUUAUGCAUUCUAUACAAGUACCAAAAUCGGUAAAGUCAAGAUCUUGUAAGAUCCUUUCUUUUACUAAUCUCUUUAUUUUCUCUAAAGAGAUAUGGGCUAAACGCUUGUGCCAUAAAUAAGAGAAGUUUUCCUUAAGAAUGUUCCUUUUAACACUAAUGCCAUGAUCAAUAUUAAAAUUACUUUCAAAAGAUUGACUCAAAUUAAAUUUGUACAAAUCAUCUACCAAACAACCAUUGCCAACAAUAACAUUAUCAGAGAACAUAGUAAAAUAUUCAUUUUCAAAUAAAAAUUUGAAACCUUUAUUUCUCAAUUUAGAAACAGAAACUAAGUUUUUAGAAAAUUUAGGAAUAUAAAAUGUAUCUUCAAGUUCAAGUACAAAACCAGUACUAAGUUCUAAAAUGAACUUUCCUACGGCUUUAACUUUAAAUUUAUUUCCUUCUCCGCUAAUUAAAAUCCUUUCCUUUGGCUUCAACAUUUUUAGGUUGUGAAAAUCCUGCAUAGUAUUUGAGAUAUGUACAGUAGUUCCAGAGUCAAUCCACCGUGUGUUUUUAGAAACAUUAACUAAAUGAGAUUCAUAACAAAUAUAGACAGUUUCAAUACCUUUCUUUUCGAGCCAAGCUUUAUGCUUCAAACAGUCCCUUUUCAUGUGUCCUCUCUUUUUAUAAAAGUAGCAUUGAUCUUUCUUGUCAGAAUUCUUUAUUGGCAACUGAGCUGACUUCUUAUAAUUAGAGGCACCCUUGAUUUUUCCCUUUUUGUGCUGAGUCGCCAGAUUAACAAAUUUUGUAAUAGUUUUUGGCUUCUCCUGCUUAAGCCUCUCCUCUUUUUGAACACACAUAAUCAAUAAUUCAUUUAUUAACCAUUCAUCCUUAUGUGUGUUAUAGGAGAUCUUAAAAGGGUCAAACUCAGACGGUAAUAAGUUUAGAAUUAGAUGGAUUAAAAAAGUGUCGGAAAUCUCAACUUUUAAAGCCUUUAGUUGAGCCGCUAUGUUCCGCAUCUCCAUGAUAUGCUCGCGCACACCCUUGGCUCGAUUGUACUUGAUGCCCGAAAGUCGCUUCAUCAGCGUGCUCACCAAAGCUUUAUCGAAGCUGACAAACUGCUCCUCAAUAGCCUUUAGGUAAUCCUUGACUUUAUCACAUUCUGGAACUGAUCCCCUUAUACUUUUUGAUACUCUAGACUUUAUGAGCAUCAAGCUUAAGUGGUUGGAUCGCUGCAGCGGAUUCCUGUUAUGGAGUCAUUGGCCCCACUACCUUAGGCGGUUGCUCAAUGCGCAGAGCCAAGUCUAAAUCCAUAUAAUCCAAAGUAAAAGAAAUAAUUUAUUUCCAAUCAAAAUAGUUGUCCCCAGUAAGUAUAGGGAUACGAGAAACAUCAUUAAGAAAUGCAGUAAAAGAAGAAGCUGCAAGAACAAAGGAAAUAUUUAACUUUAUCGCCUACUAUAAGAUAAUAAUCUUUAGAUUAGAUAAAUUCUACCUUCCUGUAGACAGAGGUGCUACACGCAUAGAAUUCAUCUACUUCAAUAAUUAGACUGGUAGAAAACUAAUUUCUAAACAACAAGAUUUCUGUACCUAUGGGCAUAAAAAAACUCACUAUCUAGAAAUUCAAUACACUAUCUUAUUCCAGUUAAAAUUCAAAAAAUUAUUUUAUUUGACUGCAAUAAAUAGUCAAACUUUAAUUCAAUAUCAGUAAAUCCUUAUAUAUUCUUCAUUAUCUACAGGAUGCUAUGGCUACUCCUAAGUAUAAUGAAAAAUACAAAUUAUCUUAUUUGACAUUGAAUGACUAUUUAAAAAAUAAAUUAGAAAUCCAUAUAAAUUUUUGGGUUAAUUUUAAAUCAAUAUCAUCUUAUAAAAAUACCAUAAGUGAUCAUAUACCAUGACUAGGAUGCUGUGGCUACUCCUAAACAUAGUUAAUCUCACAUUAAUCUUUAUAUGAUAUUGAAUGACUGAAAAUUUCAUAGUAUUCCAAAACGCAACGAAAAAGAAUAAAAUCUAGAGUAAUUUUCUUAACAAUUUUAUGUGACUCAAAAUUUAUAAACUAUAUGAAGUCUAUAUAUUCUACUCUAAAUUUUUUCAUGAUUGCAGUGUUUAGAAUAAUAAUGUAAAAAUUACACCGCAAAAAAAAAUUAGUCUAAACACAUUACUUUAUAUCAUGAAUAAACUAAUGAGUAGUAUAAAAAUUGUAUAUAAUAAAUAGCAAACAUUAUACAUAACUUUAAUAUAUAGACUUCUUCCGGAAUAAGUCACGCUUAUAAAGAAAAUCAAAAUUAUACACACACACACAGAAAGAAAAUCAAAAUUACACACACACACACACGCGCGCGCACACACACUGUCACGCCCCGCGACCACCCGCCUAUUUGGCCGGGUCGCGGCGCCGCAACAGAUCGCCGAACGGACAGGGUUUUCCCUGUACUGCGGACAGAAUCUCCCCUGCACGUUCAAGGCAUAGCAAUCAAUACAAUGUACAAAGUUCCAACCAGGAACACAUUUCAAUCAAGAUUGCAUAAUGGAAGGUAUCAAACAACAUAACACAUCUUAUGUUAUUACAUGCAUUCACAUUCACUAGAUACAUUUUACAUCCCGAGUACUUAUUACAUUUAACUUCCAAAUACAAUCUGAUUUAAUAUGAUUAUUACAACUUGAUUCUUUUCAUUUUCUUGCAUCCCUAAGUAAGGCCGACUCAGGGUACCGCUAUCUCUGGUCUCGGUGGUAGGGCGCUAACUAUGGAGCUACGCCCUUGCCUCGCGCCGCCGCGCCGCUCACGUGCGAACCUGUAACACCCCAAAACCAUGUGGGGUGAGAACCAACUCCAUGGUUCCCAGUGGGUACGGCCACCCAAGGGAAAAGCUCGACCAAUAGGUCCAAGGGAGGCAACUGCAAGUUAGUUCAAUAAACAGAUAGAUAUAUAUCUUGAUUAUGCAACGAAUAAAACCAUGCAUUGCCUCACGAAUGCAAUAAUGCAAUGCUAUAUGCAAAUCAUGCAAUAAUGCAACUAUGCAACCAACUAGUAGUUCAUUUGACACUACUUUCAAUUCUGCUAACCAUAGCUCAUCCAUUCGAUAUCUAAGGUUUCCUCUAUCUUAGAUUCUUGUCAAUCACCGUUUUAAUCAUAAAGUUUCAUCUACCUUUACAAGGCUAACCACCCGACUCGGUCUUGAGUCAAUCGUCUGCGGAGUACCGCACUAGAACCAGGCUCGAGGCGAUGGACGUCUCACAUACACCUCAGCCCUAAAUCCUCUCGACUAGGAUACCAAAUCCAUAACUCAUAAUGCAUACUUGUUGUACACUCAUUUGGCUAUGACCCAAUCUUACCGGUUAACCAUGUUAACCCCAAUAACUCACAACCAAAUCCCUUAAUAACGGGGGACUCGAACCUCCCUAGGGACCGUCAACUGGUGGGACUUUACCACGCCCAGUGGUGACCAACUCCGGAGCGCACCGCCCGAGGGGGAGCUACCUCCCUCAAGCCAAGACGUAACGUGAGUAUCGAUCCAAUCCUCAACUUGAGGAUUCAUAGCCACUCGUCACAAUGCCAAUGUCAUGAUAGGUCUCUACCUAUUUAAUCAUGCCACUCUCUAUGUCAACUUGGACCAAUGUCAAUAUGGUUAAACUAUGUUUAACAAUCACUUUCUUGAUGCCAAUCAUGUCUCUAUUGUCAUUGUCACCCUUGUUUACUAAUGUUCAAGUCCAACUCUCACAUUUACACAAUAAUAGGGUCCUAACAUACAUGAAUGACACCAGAAUAUAUAUGAUCAAUCACCACAAGUGUUUGCUAGGUUCAAGAUGCUAGGUUUAAUGCCACUCGAUCUAAUAUAUAUAUAGAUUGUCCACUAUGUUCCACAACAUGGCAAUAUGUCAUCAAGUAUGUUUUUCUAUUUAACAUAAUCCACAAUAUGUAAAUUCAUAAUAUAUCAUCAUGCACAUAUACCACUAGCAUCACAUGAUUUGUCAACAUACAUAUAGUCAUUAUCCAAAAUAGUCCAUACUUAGCAUCUCAUGCAUUCUUUUAGCACUUAAUUCAUUAUGCAUUACAUUUAGCAUAUUCUACAACAUGUCAUCAUACAUUCCUUUUAUGAUGUUCUUAUAAUGCUAACAUUCAUACGCCCUUUAUAUUAUGCAUUCAAAGCAUUAAUCAUAUGCAUUUAUCUAGCAUUUCUAUAGUAUGUUAACAUGCAUUCUUUUCACAUUCUUAUAUUAUGUCAAUAUGCAUCAAUAUGAAAUCUCAUUUCUUAGACAUAAAGGGCGACCUAGUCGCUUCGGUAAGCACAACCCACCUCAUUUCGCAUUCCGAUUGCUUGUCGACACUUGCAAUCGGCCUCCCGCGGCACCCGGCACCCGGUUUGGCCCGAUCUCUCACGCGACCACCCGAACGGCCUCCAAUUCACGAUCCGAAAAUUAAAGGUCUUCGGUUAUGUGCCACGAUGCUUCAAAUCCAUUUUCAUGAAUUUACGAUAUCGCCUCGGCCCUCCAGGCGAAAACGAAGCCUAAACGUCCGUUUCUUUAAUAACUUCGCAACGGCUCGACGAAUCGCCGAACCGUCUUCGCCAACGCGUUCGUUUACCUAGCAAUUAGAUUUACAGAGGGUCAAAUGAGAUCAAACCCUCAUAUUUACCAAAUUAGCAUUUUCGAGCCCUAAAUUACAACUAGGUAAAAAUCCACCAUUAGAGCCUUGGUUUCAAGCAUCAAACCUCUAAUUAGCAUACUAGAAUACCUCUAAAUCCACUCUUAGAGCUUAAAAACCAAACUAGAGAGAAAUGCCAUUAAAGGGUUUGAAGCUUACCUUCAAAGCUUGCUCCAAUGGAGAGGAAGAAGACGAAGAAGAUGAAGAUCAAUUUCCAAGCUUGUUUCUCCACCAAAACCUCCAAUUUUUGGGAGAGAUUUAGAGAGAAAAUGGGAGGUUCCUCUUUCUCCCUCUCCAAGCGUGUGUGCGUGUGUGUCGCGUGGGUGUGUGUGUGCGGCUGGUUAGGGAAGAAGAAGCCAAGAGCUUCUAUUUAAUUACACCCCAAUACUAUUCAUCCCGGGCAGCUUGAAAUCUGAUAACUUUCGCCGAAGCUUCCUGAAUGUCCGUUUGAGUUCAAACUUGACAGUCAUAUUCGGUUUUACUUAACUUAACAAGCUGACUAUCACUGGUUCAGUUUCGACCCGUUUGGUCACUGAAAACUGUACCGAACUGCAAUCUUUAUCAGAUAGAUUUCGAAUUUUAUUUCUCACUCUACGGGUGUCAGAAAAAUAUGAAACCUUAAAUCUAGCCUCAUAAAAAUAUUUCUGACAUCUCUGCCAAUUUUCAUAAUUUUUUGAGACUGUGCAUUUUUUGCUAAUUUAUCUGCCCCGUUUCCAACAGAAAAUUCUAAAUCUUCUGUUUUAAUUCCGAUUUCAGCACAAGUCACUUCUGACUUAUGUUUUACUUCUAUAAAUCCAAUAAAAAUAGUUUCCCACACUAUUUUUAUUUAUUUUUAUUUUUAUACCAAAAUCUG